RNAcentral lists this ribosomal RNA (1253 nucleotides) under metagenome. RNAcentral describes it as "SSU rRNA". It matches the Rfam family "Eukaryotic small subunit ribosomal RNA", at positions 20 to 1237 of the family's 1831-position model. The record is from RNAcentral.
GUAGUGAUAUGCUUGUUUCAAAGAUUAAGCCAUGCAUGUCUAAGUAUAAGCGAACUUAUACAGUGAAACUGCGGAUGGCUCAUUAAAACAGUUUGAAUUUAUUUGAUGAAUGUAUGAGAAUACUACUUGGAUAACCGUAGUAAUUCUAGAGCUAAUACAUGCAACGACGCCCGACCGUUUCACUACGGAAGGGCUGUAUUUAUUGGAUACCAAAACCAUCCUCCCCUCGGGAAGUUUUGUUUGAUGAUUCACAAUAACUGAUCGGAUCGCCACUGUGGUGGCGACAGGUCAUUCAACAUUCUGCCCUAUCAGCUUUCGAUGGUUGUGUAGUGGACAACCAUGGCCAUAACGGGUAACGGAGAAUCAGGGUUCGAUUCCGGAGAAGGAGCUUGAGAAUUGGCUACUACAUCUAAGGAAGGCAGCAGGCGCGCAAAUUACCCAAUCCCGAUUCGGGGAGGUAGUGACAAAAAAUAACAAUACCGGGCCUUUUUGGGCUUGGUAAUUGGAAUGAGGGAGAGUUAAACGGACCAUCGAGUAUCCAUUGGAGGGCAAGUCUGGUGCCAGCAGCUGCGGUAAUACCAGCUCCAAUAGCGUAUAUUAAAGUUGUUGCAGUUAAAAAGCUCGUAGUUGGACUUGUGUGCGCUGUCCGCGGGUGGCCUGCGCCCAAAAGGGCGUUUCGGUUCGGCCCCGGUGGCGCCUUGAAAUCUGCAGCUGGGGGGACGUUGGCCUUAACUGGUCGGCGACCGCACGCCGGCUGCUCGGUUACUGUGAGAAAAUUAGAGUGUUCAAGGCAGGCAUUGGGUGCAAUUGAAUACAUUAGCAUGGAAUAAUAAAAUAUGGCUCCUGCCGUAUUUUGUUGGUUUUGACUGGUGGGAGUAAUGAUUGAUAGGGACGGUUGGGGGUGCUAGUAUUGAGCGGCCAGAGGUGAAAUUCAUGGAUUCGCUCAAGACUAACUUAUGCGAAAGCAUUCACCAAGGACGUCCUCUUUAAACAAGAACGAAAGUUGGGGGAUCGAAGACGAUCAGAUACCGUCGUAGUCUCAACCAUAAACUAUGUCGACUUGGGAUCGGCGGUAGUUUUUUCAUUAAGACACUGUCGGGACCACGGGAGAAAUCAAAGUGUCUGGACUCUGGGGGAAGUAUGGUCGCAAGGCUGAAACUUGAAGGAAUUGACGGAAGGGCACCACCAGGAGUGGAGCCUGCGGCUUAAUUUGACCCAACACGGGGAAACUUACCAGGUCCAGAGAUGUAGAC